UGUUAAACAUUGUAUCUAUUUUUAUUGUUAACUGGUGUGGUUGAUAGAAUAACCGGAUAGUGAUAGUAACGUGCUACAUGUACAUCAUGUUGAUGUACAAGAUUAGUUUUUAAUCGUAGAAGUGGAUGGAAUUCUUAACA
This 140-nucleotide microRNA precursor is filed under the name Gossypium hirsutum (cotton). Its description in RNAcentral is "MIR7502 microRNA precursor family". It matches the Rfam family "MIR7502 microRNA precursor family". Lineage: Eukaryota; Viridiplantae; Streptophyta; Magnoliopsida; Malvales; Malvaceae. The record is from Rfam by way of RNAcentral.